Long non-coding RNA from Dunckerocampus dactyliophorus (ringed pipefish), 2710 nucleotides. RefSeq lists it as uncharacterized. The transcript has 2 exons. NCBI's taxonomy places the organism in Eukaryota, Metazoa, Chordata, Actinopteri, Syngnathiformes, Syngnathidae. The record is from RefSeq and is a predicted model, not a curated record.
AAGUGCACUUUUCCUUUAAGUCAUGUGACCUACAAAGACGCAAUCAGAUGCUGUGAAGAUGUAUUCAACUGUGUGGCUGUGCAGAAGUACACUGCUAACCACACUCCCUGACGCCUUAAGAGAUGCACUGGACAACGACUUUACAGCUCGGGCUUUUAGCUCAUUGGUUAUCGCUGCUCAGCAGUUGGUGGAGAUACAUGGACACGGGUUCCAGCCCAGACACACAAACGCCGCGCCCAGUCUAACACUUGAUGUCAAAGAGGGAUUAGAAGAUUAGAAAGAUAUACAACAACAAGGUGCACUUUCAGAACUAUUUGGUGUUUAAGGAAUAGAUGCUCUUUUGUGAUGGAGAAAAUGGCGCCCAACAUUUCCAAACAUACAGUGGCCUCUUUAUUUCUUCCAUGCUCACUCACCUUCUGCUUCGACGACCGUAGCCCCCGUACCUCCUUGGUGCUCCACCUCGGCGUCCACCCCCGUGAUGGGAAUCAGGGGGUCGACCGUAGCGAGCCAUCUGGACCCGCAGCUCUCGUCCGUCCAAGAGCGCGCCGUCCAUGGCAUCCAUGGCGUCCUCGGCGUCCCGCUUAUCGUGGAAGCGGACAAAGGCAAAGCCCCGGCUGUCCUUGGAGUAGCGAUCCCGGGGGAUGUAGACGUCCCCGACUCGGCCAUACUUCUCGAAGACGUGUCGGAGGGUUUCGGGAGUGGUUCUGUAAGUCAGGUUGUCCACUUUGAGAGAAGUCAUGCCGUCGACGUCGGGCGGAGGCCUUCCGUAACUCAUGAUGCUCCCGUCAAGCCUUCCUUCGACAAACUUCUACUUUUAUACGACGCGCCCGUGUUGUUGUUGGAUAUUGUCGAUGGUUCUUCAGGAGCAGAUGUUCUGAAAGUAAUACUUUGAGGAAAAGAUGGUCUCCACGCAGCCUGUACCCGAGCCAAAAUGGUUAACGGCCUUAAACCUUAUUCUCCUUUUUCCGGAAGCGGCCUGCUCGUGUCUACCUCGAUGGAGCCGGACUGCCACCUUGUGUGCCGGAGUGGAAAGUCUCAGCCCACUGACUUUUGAAAUGUAUUUUAGUUUUUGUAACAAUCUUUAUUACAAUUAUACAAUAAAUGUAUAAAAAUAACAGGAACAAAAGAACAUAGCCAGGGGUUACAUCAAUUUAAAAAAAAAUUAAAUCAGAACAAAUUGUUAAUGUUUUGAGAGCCUUUUGGUUGUCAGAUUUGUUUAUAAGUUGGAUAUAUUGUUCAACACAUUUGAGGAAAACAAUGAAAUUGUUUUGUUUUUACUGCUAUAUUUGCAUUUGUGGGUGAAAAAUUUAGCCAAAAUAAUCAACAGUUUUGGAAGAAAAAAAGCCUUUUCUUAGAUCUCCUAUAAAAGCAAAAAACAAAACAAAGUCUUUAGAGAUGUGAUCAAUAAGGUAUCUGCUGAAGGCCUUCCACAGCUUUUUGGAGUGUGGACAAUGCCAGAAAAGAUCGGGGUUCGAUUCUCCACCCUCUGUGUGGAGUUUGCAUGUUCUCCCCGUGUGUGCGUGGGUUUUCUCCGGGUACUCCUUUCCUGCCCCAUACCAAAAACAUGCAUGUUAGGUUAAUAAGUGACUCUAAAUAUACCAUAGGUAUGUGAAUGGUUGUUUGCCAGCGAUUGGCUGGCGACCAGUCCAGGGUGUACCCCACCUGUCGCCCGAAGUCAGCUGGGAUAGGCAUGCCCCCGCGACCCUAAUGAGGAGAAGCGGCAUAGAAAAUGGAUGGAUGGACUUUCCUCACCUUGUUAGUGAUGAGGUACUUGGGCGGUAUCAUCCAUACCUUAUUCCAGACAAUGUCAUACACAAAGUAAUUCCAGUAAGAUAUUUAUUACAUGUGAGGUACAGACAGGGGCGUACCUACCAUUAAGGCAAAGUAGGCAAUUGCCUUAGGCCCCCAACGAGUAAGGGGGCCCCCAGCCAGCUGCCCCCACCCCAAACAGCACGGGGCAGGGCCACCACUGCCAGCAGAAACCAUAUACUAUAUUCACAUAUAAUUAUGUUAGCAUACUAAACAAAUAACAGAACAAAAAAGAAAGCCAUCUGAAAGCUAAACUCACGUUAUCUACCCCCUCUCCCUCACCCUAUAAUGGACUGUUCCAUGAUGACAGGGUAAUGCCCCUUUGUGAGAAUCAAAGUGUGAAGCUACUUAAAAUGAAGUGAAUUUACCAGAGCGGGUUUGAGAAGAGGAAACGGUGAGAGGACGUCAAAAAAAAAAAUAUUGCCUCGUUGUCGAAGGUCUCGAGAUUCUUUACGGUGUCGGUAGAAAAAAUGCCAACGAGCCGGUGUGUAGCUAACUACCGGUCCAGUCCGCUACCGGAUGAUGCUGAGUUUGGUGCUGCAACACCUCACCUAUGUGUGAAGUCCAGUGAAGUUACAGCAACAAGUAGGACUUUCUUUCUUUGACAUUUAUGCAAGAAAAAACAUGCACUGUUUCUAUCUCACACACACAAACAUAAAUCAUCUUUGAAAACAAUUGGAUUUCUCCCCAUUUCCAUGCCUUCCUCCUGACACUGGGUAUAGUUAUGACUGUUGGCAUAUAUUGUUUAGUAAUUAUUUUUGUUACAUUGGAAUUGUUUAUAUUCACCCUCAAUACAUACAGUACACACAGUCUCUUUCUCUUUCUCUCUGAAACAUGCACACAUCUGUUGUGAUGAUGUCUGGGAUUUUUUUUGUUCAAUAAUAAAUAUCUGGCAUUUUGA